Molecule: long non-coding RNA, 717 nt
Organism: Musa acuminata AAA Group (dessert banana)
Lineage: Eukaryota; Viridiplantae; Streptophyta; Magnoliopsida; Zingiberales; Musaceae
Exons: 2
Source: RefSeq, a predicted model, not a curated record
CGCUAGCCAUGUUGCCUACUUUUAGAAUUCAGAGACUAAUUCUGGUCUUCUUUUUUGGCCUGUGAUGAUUCCCUGACCAUUGACUUUGAAGCAUAUGACUUGUAGUUCCUAUUCCUACAAAUAGAGCCUCAGCUACAUCAACUCCUAGUUUUGCCAGUUUCUCCAUUAGAGACUUUUCCUGCUGUUAAUUCUGUUUCAGCUGUAGGUUCCGAUCCAAGAUACUAGGGAGAAGAGUAGGCAUGAGUACUCAUUACCUUGUUGCAGAGGGAGAUCAGCAGCAGGUAUCCAGGCAUGAUCAUUUUCAAAAGCAGCUCAGCUCCAUGAAGAAAUCAUGGUCCAUCGAUUCUCUUGCAAGCCUUGCAGAAGGAGGCAAAACCUGCAUCUGUGCACCGACGAAGCACGUGGGAUCCUUCCGUUGCAGGCACCAUCGCCACUCCUCGAGCAUCAGCCUAAGCAGCCAAGCCCAGCCACCUGCACCUGCAAAACUUUCAAGCUCAUUGGAAGUUAAUGAAGCUAAGUAACAGAUAUAAAAGAGAUGUUGAUCCUUGUUAUGGUUUUAUACAGAUUGAAGAGGAUUGCUGAGAUUGGUCUGUUAAUAUUACUUACUACUUUUGAUGUGUGGAUACCGGAGAUUGUCAGUAAACUGUGAUUGCCUUAUCUGUGUAAGAAUACAUGCUUAUGUCAAAAAUAAAACAACACUUGUGUGUUAAGUUUGAA